Molecule: ribosomal RNA, 435 nt
Filed under: uncultured bacterium
Lineage: Bacteria
Description: partial 16S ribosomal RNA
Rfam family: Bacterial small subunit ribosomal RNA
Source: RNAcentral
AGCGAACGCUGGCGGCAGGCUUAACACAUGCAAGUCGAGCGGGCAUCUUCGGAUGUCAGCGGCAGACGGGUGAGUAACACGUGGGAACGUACCCUUCGGUUCGGAACAACUCUGGGAAACUGGAGCUAAUACCGGAUACGCCCUUAUGGGGAAAGGUUUACUGCCGCAGGAUCGGCCCGCGUCUGAUUAGCUAGUUGGUGGGGUAACGGCCUACCAAGGCGACGAUCAGUAGCUGGUCUGAGAGGAUGAUCAGCCACACUGGGACUGAGACACGGCCCAGACUCCUACGGGAGGCAGCAGUGGGGAAUAUUGGACAAUGGGCGCAAGCCUGAUCCAGCCAUGCCGCGUGAGUGAUGAAGGCCUUAGGGUUGUAAAGCUCUUUUGUCCGGGACGAUAAUGACGGUACCGGAAGAAUAAGCCCCGGCUAACUUCGUG